AAUUUUUCAGAGUACCAUUACAUGAAGAUCCAGCUGUAAGUGUCACUCAACUAACCUACAGCACCAAAGUCCAUACCAGGUACUAAUAGCAUUGUUUGUUCUGCAGUGUGUUCCAAGAAGAAAGGAUCCAGUUGAAUGCUGCACAGUUUAAGUUAUUGAUUGUUACAGCUUUAAAGACACUGCAUGGAGAGGUAUUUAUGACUUUCAUUACUCACUUGUCAGAUUUCAACAAUAUCUACUGUAUUAAUUUCCGUAAAAAAUAGGGAUCUAUCACCGGAG
Non-coding RNA from Pelobates cultripes (western spadefoot toad), 279 nucleotides. The record is from the annotation of a GenBank genome assembly. Lineage: Eukaryota; Metazoa; Chordata; Amphibia; Anura; Pelobatidae.